UGGGGGUAGACAUGAAUCGUCUGAUAUGAGAACCAAUGAGAGAAACCACCAAUUCACCGGUUUAAGAUUGAUACCCGUGCACUGUAUCAGUGGGCUGAACUUCAAGUUGUACACAAUGAAUGUUUAUUUUAAUUACACCGUAGUUUUACUCAGCAACUCAAACCCCUUAAGACAUUUAAGUGAAUCAUUACAGUCAACAUGUUAACAAUAAUAACACUUAUUGUGUCCCUAAUGACUUUAUAAAACACAAGAGAAGCUCUUUAUAACAUGGCGCUGUUCCAAUUUAGCAAUUUUGAUGAUUCCCGCUACAGAGCACAGUGAAUAUAAAGCAUAAUAUAUACACAUUAAAUCCAAACCUUCGAGACAGUGAAGGUUUCUGACGGACAAACUCUCAGUCAAAAUAACAAAAGUUCUGUUUGUAACAUUCGUGCUUUUUGUCCUUUUCAGGCCUAAAUCUUAAGCAGUCCUUUCCCUGAUGACCAAGUCAAAAUGUCUGCUGGGACUUAAUGUACAGACCUCCAGACAUGAUGGGCAACGACUGUGAGUUGGUGAUGCAUUUAACCAGUGAUGGACGAAGCGCCCUACACGUUGUUGUUGUUGUUUUUACUCACCACCACCACACAAACCUCACAUUCUAUUUACUAUUUCACUAUUUACAUGUUUCUGAAUCUCUCGACAAGAGUGAGAGGAGAAGCGAGCGAUGUGAAAGAAGAGUCAAAUGAGGGAUCUACAGUAAGCAUUGGCCCAGUAUACAGUAGCAAUGCUGUGAAAAAUAAAAAUACGUGUAGUUCAAUAUAUACUUUACAUUUUUGUUGUAUCCUUCAGGCUGAACUCCUUAAUUAAUUACAUAUUUGACCAUUGGUACACAACAGAAAGAGGUGAUUCUUACCAUCAAGGUGAGAUUUCCCUGUAGCAUUACAAAAAAAAAUUCCAAAUAUUACAUAUGUAAGUUGUAAAGCUUGCAACCCAGAUACAAGCUCUCCGGUGUGAGGAUGUUGAACAGAUUUAAAGUCAUGACCUGCAGGCUUACACUCCUAUUACCGACCUUUAAAACCAGGACCCACUUUUAUGCUCCAAGUCAGACGGAAGACAAUAAACCGUGUGAGUAUCUUCACGCCAACGCUUUGUCUUGUCUGUGCUGGGAUCGUGAAAACUGGCUCAACAGGCCAAGGGAGUUUUCCAAUUGUGUUAGGAUGUAUUCAGUUCUUUCAGUUACUGUGCUUUUCACAGUCACACAUUUGCAUACUGAGUGACGCUGGCUGAAGAAAUGUUUGACUUAAAAAAACCAAUUUGCUUGUUGAGCGUCUUGCAGAGAUUUAGAUCACAAAGAGAUGGAUGACACUGUUGUGGCUGUGUUGUGAAUGUGCAGCUGGAGUCACCAAAUCAACAGGAUCAUUGCGCACACUAAGCAUUGUCCACGACUCCAUCUCUGCAAGCUACCUAAUCCUUUGUUGUGCUUUCCACUUCAUGUGCGAGGUGCACAUUAACAUGUUUGACAUUUGACCUGUCUCGGGAUGGAGAGUUGAAAAACAUACUUUAAGCAUACUGGUUUAGCCUUGUGUAGUUGAUUGAUUCUGGGUGGCUCUUUGAUGCAGCUUCUCCACCGAAAAGAACUUGGGACUUAAAAUUGGUCAUCCAAAAUGCUCAAGCCUACGGAAUUUAAAUGAGAUUGUUAAGCAAAGACACCGAACGGAAAAUGAAAAUGAUGUGAAGAUAAUUCAAAAAGAUUAUUGUUCAGAUUGCUGAAAAAAAUACAGUACACAAUUACUGUAUUAUGAUUCACAGUGAAAAUAUAUUUUAUUAUUUGCAUAAUACGAUUCACCUGGGAAUUAAUCCGCACCACAAUGCUUUACAGAUCUACAUCAAUGAAGUUAUACGAGAG
Long non-coding RNA from Gasterosteus aculeatus aculeatus (three-spined stickleback), 1882 nucleotides. The record is from Ensembl. NCBI's taxonomy places the organism in Eukaryota, Metazoa, Chordata, Actinopteri, Perciformes, Gasterosteidae.